RNAcentral lists this ribosomal RNA (492 nucleotides) under uncultured bacterium. Its description in RNAcentral is "partial 16S ribosomal RNA". It matches the Rfam family "Bacterial small subunit ribosomal RNA", at positions 29 to 507 of the family's 1533-position model. The record is from RNAcentral.
AGUGAACGCUGGCGGUAGGCCUAACACAUGCAAGUCGAACGGCAGCACAGUAAGAGCUUGCUCUUACGGGUGGCGAGUGGCGGACGGGCGAGGAAUACAUCUGAAUCUACUUUUUCGUGGGGGAUAACGUAGGGAAACUUACGCUAAUACCGCAUACGACCUACGGGUGAAAGCAGGGGAUCUUCGGACCUUGCGCGAUUGAAUGAGCCGAUGUCGGAUUAGCUAGUUGGCGGGGUAAAGGCCCACCAAGGCGACGAUCCGUAGCUGGUCUGAGAGGAUGAUCAGCCACACUGGAACUGAGACACGGUCCAGACUCCUACGGGAGGCAGCAGUGGGGAAUAUUGGACAAUGGGCGCAAGCCUGAUCCAGCCAUACCGCGUGGGUGAAGAAGGCCUUCGGGUUGUAAAGCCCUUUUGUUGGGAAAGAAAAGCAGCAGGUUAAUACCCCGCUGUUCUGACGGUACCCAAAGAAUAAGCACCGGCUAACUUCGUG